CUUUUAAUUUGUUUUAAAUGCAAUUGAUUUUCUGCAUCUAUGAAAUGAAAUCUAGAUUUAAUUCACUGUGCAAUCGGGAGGAAGAUUUAAUUCAAUUUGUUUGGUUCUUUGAAGGAUUUGAAUAUCUUAAUGAGUUUUCAAAAUGAGUAAAAUGAAAGAUGAUUUGAAUUUGAUGCUUGACUUCACUUAAUGCUUUUGCAAGCAAAGGAAGAGUUACAAUAUUUGAUGGAACACUUUGUCUCUUGAGAAAAUUCACUAAACCACAUAAGUUUUAUUUAUUCAAGUGCAUUGCUUUAAUUAUGGAAUGAUCACUGUUGUGCACUUGUGCUUGAAUGACUGUGAUUCAUGUUAUAGCGUGUUGUGUUUCUGAUGAGAUUCUUACUCUAUUUUUCUGGUUUGAUCUUUUCGUGUAGGUUUUCAUAUACUUAUUCUCCAGUGGCUACGUUACUGCAUCCUAAAUGGUUCGGGAAAAAGAUGUCUGUUGGGAAUAUGCAGACAAAUUAGAUGGAAACAAGGUAAGGUGUAAAUUUUGUCAAAGAGUUCUGAAUGGUGGCAUAAGUAGGUUGAAGCAUCAUUUAUCUCGAUUCCCUAGUAAAGGGGUAAAUCCUUGUAGCAAGGUCAGAGAUGAUGUUACAGAUAGAGUAAGGGGUAUAAUAGCAUCAAAGGAAGAGGUCAAAGAAAUCUCCAGUUCAAAGAAGCAAAAAAUAGCAGAAGUCAAGUCUCCCAGUAAUCUUUCAGCAACUAAAGCUCUUGUAUCUUUGGAUGUAGCAUCCCCUGUCAUGAAGAUUUUCCCAACUGGCAAUCCUAUGACCCCUUCCUCUACGAAUAACCAAGAGAAUGCAGAGAGAAGUAUUGCUCUAUUCUUUUUUGAGAAUAAGCUAGACUUCAGUGUUGCAUGAUCUUCAUCUUAUCAGUCAAUGAUUGAUGCCAUUGCAAAGUGUGGUCUUGGAUUUACUGGUCCGUAUGCAGAAAUCCUAAAAACAACAUGGUUGGAAAGGAUAAAAUCAGAAGAGGGAUUACAGUCAAAAGAUGUUGAGAAAGAGUGGGCCACUACAGGUUGCACCAUUAUUGCAGACACAUGGACAGAUUAUAAAUCAAAGGCCAUAAUUAAUUUCUUAGUCUCAUCACCAUCCAGGACCUUUUUCCAUAAAUCUGUGGAUGCCUCUGCAUAUUUCAAGAACACCAAGUGGCUGGCUGAUCUUUUUGAUUCUGUAAUUCAAGAGUUUGGCUCUGAAAAUGUUGUGCAAAUUAUUAUGGAUGGCUGUGUUAACUACACUGGUAUUGCUAAUCAUAUUGUGCAGAGUUAUGGAACUAUAUUUGUAUCUCCUUGUGGCUCUCAAUGUUUAAACCUAAUCUAGGAGGAAUUCUCCAAGGUUGAUUGGAUUAGUAGAUGUAUUUUACAAGCACAAACCAUAUAAAAUUUAAUAUACAAUAAUGCCUCAUUGCUCGAUCUUAUGAAGAAGUACACUGGAGGCCAAGAACUUAUCAGGACUGGAAUCACAAAGUCUGUAUCCACCUUCCUGUCUUUACAGUCUAUGUUGAAAUUGAGAACAAGAUUGAAGAAUAUGUUCCACAGCCAUGAAUAUGCCUCAAACACUUCGUAUGCAAAUAAACCACAGAGUCUUUCUUGUAUUGCUAUUGCUGAAGAUGGUGAUUUCUGGAGGACAGUGGAAGAGUGUGUGGCCAUCUCUGAGCCUUUUUUGAAAGUAUUGAGAGAAAUAUCAGAAGGGAAACCAACUGUGGGUUCCAUAUAUGAACUAAUGAGCAGGGCCAAAGAAUCAAUCAGGACACACUACAUAAUGGAUGAGAAUAAGUGUAAGAAAUUCUUAGAUAUAGUUGAUAAAAAGUGGUGAGACCAACUCCAUUCACCUCUACAUGCAGCUGCUGCCUUCUUGAACCCCAGUAUCCAAUACAAUCCUGAAAUAAAAUUUAUUUCUUCUAUAAAAGAAGACUUCUUUAAUGUACUGGAGAAAUUGCUUCCUGUACCAGAUAUGAGGCGUGACAUCACCAAUCAAAUCUAUACUUUUACAAAGGCACAUGGAAUGUUUGGCUGUAGCCUAGCAAAGGAGGCAAGGAAUACAGUUGCACCUUGGCUUUGGUGGGAGCAGUAUGGUGACUCUGCUCCGGGGUUGCAAUGAGUUGCCAUUAGAAUAUUAAGUCAAGUUUGCAGCACCUUCUCAUUUCACAGACAGUGGAGUACCUUUUGGCAAAUUCUCUCUGAGAAGCGGAACAAGAUUGAUAGAGAAACAUUUAAUGACCUAGUUUAUGUAAACUACAAUCUCAAGUUAGCUAGGCAGAUGAGUGCAAAGUCUACAGAAGUUGAUCUGCUUCAAUUUGAGGAUAUUGACAUGACUGCUGAGUGGGUGGAGGAGAAUGAAACUGCAAGUCCAACACAGUGGCUGGAUCGUUUUGGUCCUGCCUUGGAUGGCAAUGAUUUGAAUACAAGACAGUUUGGUUCUUUCUAUAUUUGGUGCAAAUGACCCUAUAUUUGGAUUGUAAUUUUGUAUUCAUCAUGUACCAUAGCAAGUGUCUUUUCUAGUUCUAGAUCGUGUUCAGCCUUGAUGAAGUAGGGCUUAGUUUUCCUUGUAGGAAUGUAUCUGAAAGUGAUGUAAAGACAGGACUCUAUUAUUUGUCUCCCGUUCUCUACUCUCAGCCAACAUGUGGGAGCAUAGAUUGUUGAUUAAUGUGUUGUAAACUGUAAUUUUGUUGUAUUGGAAUUUAGAAAUUCAGUAGUUUUCACGUUU
Molecule: long non-coding RNA, 2744 nt
Organism: Glycine soja
Lineage: Eukaryota; Viridiplantae; Streptophyta; Magnoliopsida; Fabales; Fabaceae
Exons: 3
Source: RefSeq, a predicted model, not a curated record